Molecule: long non-coding RNA, 202 nt
Organism: Hibiscus syriacus
Lineage: Eukaryota; Viridiplantae; Streptophyta; Magnoliopsida; Malvales; Malvaceae
Exons: 3
Source: RefSeq, a predicted model, not a curated record
AAUCAGAGUUAGACCUCUUCAUGGAAGGAUACUGCUCGGUCCUGAGCAAGCUAAAGGAAGCAAUGGAGGAACCUCAGCUGGAAUCAAUAGCCUUCAUCAACGGCAUGCAUUCUCAACUCAGGGACCUGGCCAGAUCUAAUCCCCUUUCACCUGAUGUAUUUCUGCAGGAAGCUGAAAUGAAGAAUUCAAAGUGAGGGACCAA